GGGGAAAGCACGUAUAAUAGGAAUUGGAAUGGAUUAUUCAGCAACAAGCAAAAUAGCUCUAAAAUGGGCAAUUGAUAAUUUAAUUGAAGAAGGUGACACAAUUAUUAUUAUUCAUGUUGUUUCUUCUAAAGUUGAACCAACUAGUAAACAACUCUUUGAAGAUACUGGAUCACCUUUGAUACCUCUGGAUGAAUUUAAACAGAUUAAUGUGUCUAAGUACUAUGGAUUAAAUCCUGACAAAGAGGUUAUUGAUAUGCUUGAGCCUGUUGCCAAACUCAAAAAGGUGACAGUGGUGUCAAAGGUGUAUUGGGGAGAUGCAAGAGAGAAACUGUGUGAUGCUGCUGAAAGUCUCAAACUUGAUUCACUUGUAAUUGGAGGCAGAGGCUUAGGAGUUCUUAAAAGGGUGUUACUUGGAAGUGUCAGUAACUAUGUGGUGCAAAAUGCAACAUGUCCUGUUACUGUUGUGAAAACCAGUCCUCAAAAGUGAAAAAUAAGAGUAAAGUUUAUGUAAUUUUGUUAAUAAAAAAAAGAAGAAAAGCUAUUUUGUGUUUUUACUUUCUUUCGUUUUUGUAUAAUGUCUUGUUUUGGAUUUUAUUUAUUUGAUUUCUUAGGGUAUGAGUUGGCUUUUGUUUGGGAGUGUUGGAUGUGAGAUGAUUGUGGGACUUUGUUAUAUUUCAAUUAUAUAUUAUAUACAUAUUUUUGUUGGUUUCUUGUUUGUCAUUUUUGAGACACUUGUCUUUGUCAAAAUGUAAAUGUUUCAUUUGUGAGAUUGGGAAGAAAACAUUGUGAAGUUUCUUGUGAUAAAUAUUACAAUAG
RNAcentral lists this unclassified non-coding RNA (816 nucleotides) under Hevea brasiliensis (rubber tree). The record is from RNAcentral. Lineage: Eukaryota; Viridiplantae; Streptophyta; Magnoliopsida; Malpighiales; Euphorbiaceae.